Molecule: long non-coding RNA, 610 nt
Filed under: Phascolarctos cinereus (koala)
Lineage: Eukaryota; Metazoa; Chordata; Mammalia; Diprotodontia; Phascolarctidae
Description: lncRNA (ENSPCIG00000023823.2)
Source: RNAcentral
CGCUGAAGAUAUGGUAUUGGUCUCCUCUUCCCACCCCCUUCAUAUGGGCUUAGACAAGAAAAGAUGAUGCUAAUGGAAAAGCGAGAGCAACAGGAAACUGCUUCAGCAGAAGGGAGAAGAAACAUAACAAAGAAGAAGUUAAUGCUAGUUCCAGAGUUUCACCAGGAAGCAGGACUGUGUGGAGCCUGGCCUUGAAUGUCACCACUAAACAGGUCCUUUUAUACCAACAUGCUUAACAAUUUGUUUGGUGCCAGCUACUUGCUCACUCCUUGGAAUUAUUCCAUGUCCUUGCUAAGAAGAAAGAUAAAAAAAAAAUGCAACUGGGCUUUGAGACACCUGAGAAAUUGGAUCAUCAGUGGAGCAGACUGGCAUAUGCAUCAUUGUAUCCUUUUACCAUAUUCAGUUAUUGAUUAACAUAUUAUUGAUAACUCCUCUAGAUUUAAGAAGGGUAUAUCCCUUUUUCUUUUCUUUUAAAUACAUAAAUAGACCAAUUUAAUAUCCAUGGUAUAUUGGAUAUUAGUUUUUCAGUGAACUCAUUAUUCCAACACUCAAUUCUGUGUCUUUGCACAGGAUAUAAAAUGCCUGGAAUAAAAGUAUUAUACAUAUCUCA